UGCUUAUCUAAGAUGGUGAGGAAAUUACUUUUAAAGAACGACCAGGCAUCCUCGACUGACAGGAUGAGGUCAAUAUCUUUCCAGGACACCCGGGCCACGUCGAUUAGAAAGGCCUGCUCGCAGAAGUGUUUUAGGGAGCAUUUGACAGUGAUGAGGGGUGGUCAUUUGUCCCAUAGCGGAUACAGGCAAGGAAAUCAGUCAAUUGAAAUAAAAUCAUUAGGCCCUAAUCUAUGGAUUUCACAUGACUGGGAAUACAGAUAUGCGUCUGUUGGUCACAGAUGCCUUAAAAAAAAGGUAGGGUUGUGGAAGAAAACCAGUCCGUAUCUGGUGUGACCACCAUUUGACUCAUGCAGCACGACACAUCUUCUUAGCAUAGAGUUGAUCAGGCUGUUGAUUGUGGCAUGUGGGAUGUUGUCCCAUUGUUCAAUGGCUGUGCGAAGUUACUGGAUAUCGGCAGGAACCGCAACACACUGUCGUAUAUCCCAACAUGCUCAAUGGGUGACAUUUCUGCAGAGGUAACUCUGGGAUUUCCUUUCCUGUGGCGGUCCUCGUGAGAGCCAGAUUCAUCAUAGCGCUUGAUGAUUUUUGCGACUGCACUUGAAGAAACUUUCAAAGUUCUUAAAAUUUGACUGAACUUCAUGUCUUAAAGUAAUGAUGGACUUUCAUUUCUCUUUGCAUAUUUGAGCUGUUCUUGCCAUAAUAUGGACUUGGUCUUUUAACAAAUGUCUUCUGUAAGCCACCCCUACCUUGUCACAACACAAAUGAUUGGCUGAAAUGCAUUAAGAAGGAAAUCAAUUACACAAUUUAACUUUUAUCAAGGCACACCUGUUAAUUGAAAUGCAUUCCAGGUGACUACCUCAUGAAGCUGGUUGAGAGAAUGCCAAGAGUGUGCAAAGCUGUCAUCAAGGCAAAGGGUGGCUACUUUGAAGAAUUUCAAAUAUAAAAUAUAUUUUGAUUUGUUUAACACUUUUUUGUUUACUACAUGAUUUCAUAUAUGUUAUUUUAUAGUUUGGAUGUCUUCACUAUUAUUCUACAAUGUAGAAAAUAGUACAAAUAAAGAAAAACCCUUGAAUGGGAAAGUGUGUCUCAACUUUUGACUGGU
This 1102-nucleotide long non-coding RNA is filed under the name Salmo salar (Atlantic salmon). Its description in RNAcentral is "lncRNA (ENSSSAG00000099484.1)". Lineage: Eukaryota; Metazoa; Chordata; Actinopteri; Salmoniformes; Salmonidae. The record is from RNAcentral.